GUGGUUUAAUUCGAUGCAACGCGAAAAACCUUACCUACCCUUGACAUGUCAAGAAUUUUGCAGAGAUGUGAAAGUGCUCGAAAGAGAGCUUGAACACAGGUGCUGCAUGGCCGUCGUCAGCUCGUGUCGUGAGAUGUUGGGUUAAGUCCCGCAACGAGCGCAACCCUUGUCAUUAGUUGCUACGAAAGGGCACUCUAAUGAGACUGCCGGUGACAAACCGGAGGAAGGUGGGGAUGACGUCAGGUCCUCAUGGCCCUUAUGGGUAGGGCUACACACGUCAUACAAUGGCCGGUACAGAGGGUUGCCAACCCGCGAGGGGGAGCUAAUCCCAGAAAACCGGUCGUAGUCCGGAUCGUAGUCUGCAACUCGACUGCGUGAAGUCGGAAUCGCUAGUAAUCGCGGAUCAGCUUGCCGCGGUGAAUACGUUCCC
This 430-nucleotide ribosomal RNA is filed under the name uncultured bacterium. RNAcentral's name for it is "bacterial SSU rRNA". It matches the Rfam family "Bacterial small subunit ribosomal RNA", at positions 941 to 1375 of the family's 1533-position model. The record is from RNAcentral.